ACUUAAAUAGUUUAAUAUAAAAUAUUGAUUUGUGGUAUCAAAGUUAUAGGUUUAUUUUAGGUU
RNAcentral lists this transfer RNA (63 nucleotides) under Phygasia ornata. RNAcentral describes it as "tRNA-His". Lineage: Eukaryota; Metazoa; Arthropoda; Insecta; Coleoptera; Chrysomelidae. The record is from RNAcentral.